Molecule: small nucleolar RNA, 107 nt
Filed under: Neogale vison (American mink)
Lineage: Eukaryota; Metazoa; Chordata; Mammalia; Carnivora; Mustelidae
Description: Neovison vison (American mink) Small nucleolar RNA SNORA42/SNORA80 family (ENSNVIG00000008706.1)
Source: RNAcentral
ACAUGAGUCUGUCUCUCAGUGUCCCUUGCCUGCGCAGGCUGUCACCCCAAACCACUGUCUGGUCCCUGUGCCAGGAAGCUAUGGGUACUGACGUGGGUUGCAUGGUG